Molecule: long non-coding RNA, 1291 nt
Filed under: Zonotrichia albicollis (white-throated sparrow)
Lineage: Eukaryota; Metazoa; Chordata; Aves; Passeriformes; Passerellidae
Description: lncRNA (ENSZALG00000003862.1)
Source: RNAcentral
GUAUUCCCAUUUAUUCAAGUUGGAUUUUUUUUGCAUUCCACCUGCUGAUGUCCGAGCAAUUGGGGCAGUGCCAAAGCAAGUCCUGGGUGUGCUCAGCCCCUCCCCUACCUUCAUCUCUUGAUCAUCUCUAAUGAAAGACACAAUGAAGAGACCUUUUAUAAAGGACAAUGAAGAGAAGAUAGUUUUUCCAGUGCUUAUUUGAUUGGACACUUUUCAUAAGUGCUGGUGUGUGACAAGCAAAAGGUAGAGGAAAACAAAGAAACUCCAGCUGCUAUGGAACGGUCUAAAUACAGGGGCUAAACUUCCUGGCAUUGUCUCAUGGUAUUGAAAACAAAUACUGAGAAUCUGAAAGGAUGCAUCAGACUGCUACUGAGGGGAUGGAUUGCUGAUGUGAGAGAAACUGCUACAUAUGAAAGGGUGAUAUAUGGAAUGGAAAAAGAGGACUGCAAGCCUUCUUUCACACAGUGCAUCCUGGCUCACUUCCUUGUCUUGGAAAAGAUUGUUUUAAUACCUGUGAACAUGUGCAUUACAAGAGACAGACUUACUCCUUCCUGUAUUGAAAACUGAGCUCUGAAUAUUUCUCUGGGAACAUCAAGCAUGGAGAAUUAGCACAUUGGACAGAGAAUGCCUUCCUAUCCCUGAAAGAAAAAAUGAGCAGACUGAGGCAGCACCACUGUUACAGGCUGAGGACGAGCUCCACAUGACUCAGAAGUGAAAGAGAGAAAUGAAACCAAAGCCUCCUACAGCAAAUUUCUUCCUACCUCUCUCCUCCCUUUCCCCUACCAAACUGUAUUGUCUUAAUCUGGGAACGUGAUUUAUUUCUGAAAUAUCUAGUGGGUGGCAGAGGUGGGGAGCAAAGCUGCACAAAGCUCCCCAGAGCUGCUGACCGAGGUAAAUAGUGUGUCAUAACACAUUUAUCAAAUAAUAAUGGAAACUGUAUAGAACACAUAGGAGAGGGAGGGGGAAACCCCCUUCCCCACUGGGAAGUUACUGAAUAUUUCAGCCAGUUUAUAAAAGUAUGUGUGCAUGUGUUUGGAAGGGGGAGGUUUUUCUAGCUCCACCUCUGCAAAUCAAUCAUUGGCGUGGGAUGUCUGAGCAGACAAGUGAAAUGGAUGAGCGCAUUAUGGAUCAAGGAGGUGGGAUUCCUGCCUUGGUUGGUUUGAGACAGACCCCCCAAGCACUGUGGGUCUAAGAUGAGACUGUAAGCAGAGCUCGUAGAGUUCUGAAAGGCUGAGGCUGCAGCCUCUGACAUGGUAUGAAGGUGGGGAAUAAAAUAAAAUUGGUGAUAAAU